This 473-nucleotide ribosomal RNA is filed under the name uncultured bacterium. RNAcentral's name for it is "bacterial SSU rRNA". It matches the Rfam family "Bacterial small subunit ribosomal RNA", at positions 18 to 507 of the family's 1533-position model. The record is from RNAcentral.
CCUGGCUCAGGAUGAACGCUGGCGGCGUGCCUAACACAUUCAAGUCGAACGGUGAAGUACCUUCGGGUACGGAUCAGUGGCGGACGGGUGAGUAACGCGUGAGCAACCUGCCUUUCAAGUUUGGAAUAGCUCCUGGAAACGGGAAUUAAUACCGGAUGUGAUCAUUAGAACGCAUGUUCUUUUGAUGAAAGCUUUAUGCGCUUGAGGAUGAGCUCGCGUCCCAUUAGCUAGUUGGUGAGGUAACGGCUCACCAAGGCAAUGAUGGGUAGCUGGUCUGAGAGGACGAUCAGCCACACUGGGACUGAGAACUGCCCAGACUCCUACGGGAGGCUGCAGUCGAGAAUUUUGGGCAAUGGGCGAAAGCCUGACCCAGCAAUGCCGCGUGCGGGAUGAAGGUCUUCGGAUUGUAAACCGCUGUCAAGAGGGACGAAAAAUUGACGGUACCUCUGAAGGAAGUCACGGCUAACUACGUG